UCUCCGUUGGUGAACCAGCGGAGGGAUCAUUACAGGACUCGCAAGACUCCUUCACCCUGUGAAUCUCACUACAAGCACGUUGCUUCGGCGGGUGUCCCGGCGGGGGUUUUCCCUCGCCGGGGCGCACAGCCCGCCGGCAGCCUACUAUACUCUGUCUCUUUGCGUUGGCAUCUCGAGAAAAAACAAACAAGUUAAAACUUUCAACAACGGAUCUCUUGGUUCUG
RNAcentral lists this unclassified non-coding RNA (224 nucleotides) under plant metagenome. RNAcentral describes it as "partial contains small subunit ribosomal RNA, internal transcribed spacer 1, and 5.8S ribosomal RNA". The record is from RNAcentral.